Molecule: transfer RNA, 23 nt
Filed under: Crotalus atrox (western diamondback rattlesnake)
Lineage: Eukaryota; Metazoa; Chordata; Lepidosauria; Squamata; Viperidae
Description: partial tRNA-Ser
Source: RNAcentral
GAGAGGUCCAGAAGACCUGCUAA